This 782-nucleotide ribosomal RNA is filed under the name uncultured bacterium. RNAcentral's name for it is "bacterial SSU rRNA". It matches the Rfam family "Bacterial small subunit ribosomal RNA", at positions 60 to 834 of the family's 1533-position model. The record is from RNAcentral.
AGUCGAGCGGUAGCACAGGGGAGCUUGCUCCCUGGGUGACGAGCGGCGGACGGGUGAGUAAUGUCUGGGAAACUGCCUGAUGGAGGGGGAUAACUACUGGAAACGGUAGCUAAUACCGCAUAACGUCGCAAGACCAAAGAGGGGGACCUUCGGGCCUCUUGCCAUCAGAUGUGCCCAGAUGGGAUUAGCUAGUAGGUGGGGUAAUGGCUCACCUAGGCGACGAUCCCUAGCUGGUCUGAGAGGAUGACCAGCCACACUGGAACUGAGACACGGUCCAGACUCCUACGGGAGGCAGCAGUGGGGAAUAUUGCACAAUGGGCGCAAGCCUGAUGCAGCCAUGCCGCGUGUGUGAAGAAGGCCUUCGGGUUGUAAAGCACUUUCAGCGAGGAGGAAGGUGGUGAGCUUAAUACGUUCAUCAAUUGACGUUACUCGCAGAAGAAGCACCGGCUAACUCCGUGCCAGCAGCCGCGGUAAUACGGAGGGUGCAAGCGUUAAUCGGAAUUACUGGGCGUAAAGCGCACGCAGGCGGUUUGUUAAGUCAGAUGUGAAAUCCCCGGGCUCAACCUGGGAACUGCAUUUGAAACUGGCAAGCUAGAGUCUCGUAGAGGGGGGUAGAAUUCCAGGUGUAGCGGUGAAAUGCGUAGAGAUCUGGAGGAAUACCGGUGGCGAAGCGGCCCCCUGGACGAAGACUGACGCUCAAGUGCGAAAGCGUGGGGAGCAACAGGAUUAAUACCCUGGUAGUCCACGCUGUAAACGAUGUCGAUUUUGGAGGUUGUGCCCUU